CCAGGGAGCCCGUCUCAGCGU
RNAcentral lists this microRNA (21 nucleotides) under Gadus morhua (Atlantic cod). RNAcentral describes it as "gmo-miR-11243-3p". The record is from miRBase by way of RNAcentral. Lineage: Eukaryota; Metazoa; Chordata; Actinopteri; Gadiformes; Gadidae.